AAACGAUUACCAGAAAGACCUAGAAAGGUGAGAUGAGAAAGAUUACCAAUUGAUGAUGGAAUCUGACCCGAAAACUGAUUAAAAGAAAGGUCGAGAGAGGUGAGACGAGAAAGGUUUCCGAUUGAAUUCAGAAUCUGACCCGAAAAACGAUUAUAAGAAAGGUCGAGAGAGGUGAGAUGAGACAGAUUUUCAAUUGAAGACGUGAUUUGACCUUCAAAAUCAUUAUGUGAACGGUCUAGAGUGGUUAGGAAAUGAAGGUUUCGAAUACUGC
Molecule: long non-coding RNA, 271 nt
Filed under: Arabidopsis thaliana (thale cress)
Lineage: Eukaryota; Viridiplantae; Streptophyta; Magnoliopsida; Brassicales; Brassicaceae
Description: long non-coding RNA (ATHA_LNC000079)
Source: RNAcentral